Salvelinus sp. IW2-2015 is the source of this 2018-nucleotide long non-coding RNA. RefSeq lists it as uncharacterized. The record is from RefSeq and is a predicted model, not a curated record. Lineage: Eukaryota; Metazoa; Chordata; Actinopteri; Salmoniformes; Salmonidae.
UUUUUAUGUUAAAGGAAACUGUAAGGGAAGACAGAACCUCGGAGACAGAGACUCCGCAUAUGGAGACAGGCCUCACCACAAGCUUCAAUGACACUAGAGUCUCCAGAGGAAAUGCGGGAGAUACGGCGUCUCCAAGAUGAGAUCUACCAUCUCUCUCUGGCUGCAGACCAGGAGAAACAGAUGAAACGUCGUUGUUUUGAGGAGUGGGAGACCAGGUGGAGGAAGUCAAUAGAGGAGAGAAGACGAGGGUGGUCUCUCACCCAGAGCAGCCUGAUGGAGGGCCCUUUAAGAUCAAAUACCCAGAUGGGAGGGAGCAGAUUAAGAGAUUCCGGCUCUCUGAAUCCAUUCAGAUGGUUUGAUUUUGUGGGAGAGGAUGAUGCCUCGAGUGAGGUUUUUACCCUCCAGGCAGCAGCGAGCUUCCCAACCCUGAAGAGCAUGAUUAACGGGUCAUUGGAGGACCAUGACAUUUGGGAGUCCACACCACUGUAUGUGUUGUGGUUGUCUGUGGAGUAUGUGCAGGUGACUAGCAUGACAAUACUUAAUAAUACAUUUGAAUCAGACUACAUUUGAACUACUUGAUAGUUAUAACCUUAGUGUGUGGUUCUUUCUGUCCAUUUACAGGCAAUCCUAUCAAAUCAUCUCACCUGCCCCCUCAACACCUCUCUCCUCACCUCUCACCAGCCUCCUCUCCUCUCCACUCACCUCCUUCAUCACCAAACUKUCCUUCUUAUCACCCCUCACCCUUAACUUCCUCACUCUUUCCACCUCUCACCUCCUAACUCACUUUCUCCUCCCUCAUCUCCAUCAUUGGCUCCAGUGAGUUUUUUAAAGAGCAGUUUAUAAACAAAAUGUAGUAUUUAAAACCUUAAUGUCAAGAGUAUUUUCCCUUAGGAUCAAUCCUUAUUCGAUUUGUCAUACAUUUUGAGUGAGCUUCCCCCCUUCCCCUCUAGAACGGACAUAAGUGCCAUUUUACGUACGCUCUGGAGCCGAGUGGACCAGGACCACUGCCCCGUCGCCAACAUGAUAAAUGUCCACAGGGGCAACGUCCUAAACAGUAGCCUGUAUGUGUUUCAACGCAACAACUUAAAUGCAGUGGCUAAGAUGGACGUUGCCUUUGUGGACGUUGAGUCCAAGGCGGAGGGGACAGUUGACCAAUGGGGUCCCUCCAGGGAGUAUUACAGGCUUCUCAUGAGGGACAUCAGGGACUCGGCCAUCUUCGAGGGUCCGGAAGGAGGGAAACGGCUGUCCAUUGAUGUUCAUGGUAAACCUUCUUUUUACCCGUAUUAACAUGUGAUUUUCAUGUAAAAUACAGAAUUUAAGCCAAAACAAUUAGUGAAGAGGCUUUGUCCAGGGCGAUAUAUCAUAGGGAUAAUAAAGUUGGCACACUUUUGAAAUGGUCUUUUUAGCAUCACACGAGGGCCUGUAUGGAACCAUUGGUCAAAUUAAAAGUGUGUGUGUGGUCCAUGGAGAUGUUGGGCCACACUUGUUCUCUGAGCGACUCUUCGCAGCAGUGUGGGAAGCCUUCUCCUCCACUCAGUCUGGAGGAGGUAAGCCACACUACUCUGAGAGCACAUUUGGAAAAUAUCAAAAAAGCAAAGGACCUAUCAGAAGUGAAGAACAAAUUGGAGGAUUCGGUAGACUGGCUGAACCUACUGGGGAAGAAAAGGAUUGUUGUCAAGACAAUGGAGGACAGAGAUGGUGUGGUUGAAUUGGUGGCUCAACAAUUUGUCCAAGGGAGCAUGCAGGUGGCCUUAGAGCAGUAAGUCAACUCUGUAAUAAAUCUGUGAAGUACUUGUCAUUACCUCUAACAUAAGUAUUUUUAAUCAGUCCACCCCCCUAAAUCAAUACACAUCACUAUAUUGUCCUUAACACUUAUUUUAAAUAUACAUACUGUCUCUAAACCAUAACAGGUUCAAAUAUUGUCUCAACUCUCUUGGGCUGCUCUCUCGGGCGGCUCAUACAAUGUGGUUUAUUUUUUAUUUAUCUAGGUGAGUCAGAACAAAUUCUUAUUUACAAUG